GCCGCCUCCGGGCGCUGUUUGCUCCCAGUUCCCUCCCAGUGCUCCCAGUAAGAGCGAUACUGGGAAGAGAAGUGCUACGAAUUCCUUUCCGCUGCUUUCAAGAUCGCUCCCGGUGCUCCCAGUAUCGCUCCCAGUGCCGCGCGGGGCGGGGCCGCUUUGGAACCACCCCAGGGCAGAGCGCGGCUGCUUUUAGGUGUCGGCACCGCCCGGGCCGUGCUGGGAGCGGAGGAGGAGCGGGAGGAAGAGGAGGGAGAGGAAGAAGACAAGCCAAGGCAGGAGGGGCCGGAAAAGGAGGAGCAGGAAUAGGAGGGACAGAGGUGGAGUAGGAACAGGAGGGGCGGGAGGAAGUUGUCCCUUCGGAGCCCGCCGGUGAGUGAGGAGGGGGAGCUCGUCGCAAAACCAUCGGGGUGUCUCUGGGAAUUCCCAUUCCUAAACCUCGGCCCAAUGGAUGAGGACGCUGAGAGGAAGAUGAUCUGGGAGCCCCGGGCAGACAAGGAGCUGAGGAUGGAGACCAGGGAGGACAAAUCCCCAUGGCAGAACCUCAUGGAAGAGGCCGUUUUGAGCGGCUCCGCAGCGCAGGAAUCCAACGGGGAGGAAAAGCCCCAGAGAUCUCACAUUAGGAUGGGCUGCAAACACAAAUCACAGGGAUCUGAGGAAGAAAGAUCCACCCUGGGCCAGGAAGAUGACCAGAACUCAGAGCUGGGAGUUCCUGAGCAGCUUCAUGAUGGAGUGAAGCCCCAAAAGUGCUCAAAAUGUGAGAAGAGCUUCAGGUGGAGAUCCUCCCUUAUCCGACACUCAAGAAUCCACACAGAGAAAUGGCUCUAUGAGUGUGGGCAGUGUGGGAAGAGCUUCAGUUCGAGCUCCAGCCUGAUCCGCCACCAGAGGAACCACACCAGGGAGAGACCUUAUGAGUGUGAUCAAUGCAAGAAGAGAUUUCCCACCAGCUCCUGUCUCCUCAGGCACCAGCGGAUUCACACGGAUGAGAGGCCCUUCCGCUGCCCUGACUGUGGGAUGUGUUUCAAGAACAACUCAUCCCUCUUCAUCCACCGGCGCAUCCACACCGGGGAGAGGCCCUAUGAGUGUCCCGAGUGUGGGAUGAGCUUCUCACAGCGCUCCACUCUGAUUUCCCACCGGAGGAGCCACACGGGGGAACGGCCCUAUGAGUGUGGGGAGUGUGGGAAGAGUUUCAGCCGGAGCUCCACCCUGAUUGCCCACCAGAGGAACCACACCGGGGAGGGGCUCUACGAGUGUGGUCAGUGUAGGAAGCGCUUCAGCCGGAGCUACCACCUGAUCCGCCACCAGAUGAUCCACACUGGGGAGAGGCUCUACCACUGCGAUGAAUGCAAGAGGAGUUUUCAGACCAGCUCCUGUCUCCUCAGGCACCAGCGGAUUCACACGGAUGAGAGGCCCUUCCGCUGCCCCGACUGCGGGAAGGGCUUUAGGGAGAAGUCUGCCCUCAUCGACCACCAGCGCAUCCACACCGGGGAGAGACCCUUCAAGUGUUCCGAGUGUGGCAAGAGCUUCACCCAGAGCUCUACCUUGACUCAACACCUACGCACACACAACUAAGGGAUGCCCUGUGAGUGCCCUGAGUGCAGAAAGAGCUUCAUGCACUGCUCCAGCUCCAUCCUCCAUGGAAGGAUCCAUGCUGGAUGAACCCCAGUGACCCCGGUAGCAGAGUCCCAGUGAUCCGUGGUGCCCGUGAUCCGUGUUGGGAGGACACCUGGCUGAGGGCUCCACAUCCUCCUGGCUCCCCAUGGCCUGCAUUUUCUUUUCAUUUCUCUUCGUCCUUUCAAAACAUCCAAAACUGGGGUAGAAAUAAAGAUUUUGAACUAAGACAAGGAUGGGGACAUGGGGGGAUCUUCCAGGGGAUAUGGGGGAUGCUGGAUGCCAGGGAGUUGAAGGUUCCUGGCAGGGACUGGGGGUUGCUCAGGCCUUUGGGCUCCCCAGGCCGAGUGGCUCCAGCUGCUCUGGGAGAGCCUGGCACAGGUUCCGGGGCAGCUGAUCAAGGACCCCCUGCCCUGGAACUGUCCUCAUGUCCCCCCGUCCCGGUUCCCAGUGUCCCCUGUCCAGGUUCCCCCUCUCCCCGCUGUUACUUGCAUUGCCCCCUGCUCUUUCCCGUGUCACCCCACUCCUGGUCUCAUCCUGCUCCCAUCCCAGUCUGGAUCCCAUUCCUGGUCUCAUUCCCUGUAGCUGUCCUGUAUUCUCUGGCUGGCUACCAUUCCCAUAUUCCCAGUCACGAUUCCCUGCCGUGUUCUCAUACUCCUGGUCCUGCUGCAAGUCCUGCAUUUCCAUUUUUUCAUUCCCUGUCCCAUUCCCAUAUUCCUGAUCCCAGUCCCGUUGCUGUGUUCCCAUUUCUGAUUCCUGUCACACCUUCCUAAUCCCCAUCACAUAUUCUCUCUCCAAUUGUUGUUUCCAUGUUCCCUGUCUCGUUGCCAUAUUCCCAUCCCUGGUCUCAUUUCUGGACCCUCUCCCAUAAUCCCAGUCACUGUCUCCAUUCCCCAUCCCAUUCCUGCUCCCAGUCCCAUAUUCCCUGUCCCGUUCUUGGUCCCUGUCCCCAUUCCAACUAUCAUUCCCAGUCCCUGUCUCAUAUUUCCAGUCCUAUUCCCAGUCCCCAUCCCCAUUACCAAUUCUUGUCCCCAUCCCUGGUGCCAUUCCCCAUGCCACUCCUGGUCCCAGUCCCUGUCUCGUAUUCCCUGUCCUUUUCCCAGUCCCAGUCUGGUAUUUUAGGUCUCCUUCUUGGUCCCUGUCCCCAUUCCCAUUAUCAUUCUGAAUUGCUGUCUCUUAUUUCCAUUCUUAUAUUCCCAGUCUCUGUCCCCAUUCCCAGUCACUAUCCAGUGCCACUCCUGGUCCCUCUCCCCAUUCCUGGUCCCAUUCCCAGUUCCAUUCUGGUAUAGCUGGCCCAAUUCUUAGUACCUGUCCCCAUUCCUAGUAUUAUUCCCAGUCCCUGUCUCUUAUUUCCAGUCCCAUUCCUGGUCCCAUUCCCAUAUUCCAUGACCCUGUCCCCACUCCCAGACUCAGUCCCAUAUUCCCGGUCCCUGUCCCCAUUCCUAGACACAUUCCCCGUCCCAGUCCCGUAUUCUGAGUCCCUGUCCCAAUUCUCUUUCCCAGUCCCGUAUUCCUGGUUCCAUUCAUGGUCCCUGCCCUCAUUCCCAGUAUCAUUCUCACUACUUGUCUUGUAUUUCCAGCCCAUUUCUGAUCCCUGUCCCAAUUUCUGAUCCCUGUCCCCAUUUCCUGGUCCCUGUCCCCUUUCCCAAACCCUGUCCCCUUUCCCAGUCCCUGUCCCCAUUCCCAAACCCUUUCCCUAUUCCCUGUCCCAUUCCCGGUGCUGUACCCCAGGGCCACCUCUCGCAUGGGGCCCUGAGGGCUCCACAUCUCGGGCUGGCGGUGGCACACGAACCGUUCAGCCCCGCUGCUGUCCUUGGCCAGCUGCAGAGAGCACAAGGCUUUGGCCAUUCCUCAGAGGCCCCCAGCUGGCCAGAGCAGCCCCUCCUGCCAGCACCCGCUGUGCCUCAUGUUAUGAAUGGGCCAGGAGACCAGCUCCAGAGUGAUUUCAGCCUUUGUUAAAAGAACAGCCUGGGAAGAGGAGGCCCAGCGCACCAUGCUGCUGCUCCAGUGGCGACUCGGAGGAGGAGGCAAUCAGCUCCAUCUCUGUAUGGCGGAUCUCGGUCUUCUCGCCUCACAAGAGUCUCCAGGAAGACACUUGCUGGCUCUUGGUCCAGGGGUGUCAUGCUGAUCAAGUGCAGUUCAGGUCAUGGCAACAAGGCAAAAAGCUUUGGUUGGUGGUCUGACGUUCUUUACUGUUUUCUUCAUCUAAAGGUGUUGUUUAGAUCUUUAUUGGUACUAGGGCUCAUUGGUUUUAGAGGUUUUUGUCUGCUCAUUUAGCUUCUGCCAGAUACUAGGCCUUAUGGGAGUCUUAUGUUUGCAUCUGCCAUCAUGGGUACAAAGGGAGCAGCAGGGCGAUACUCGACGGUGAGGCAGGAUACGAGCUAGGAACUAAUUAACUUACAUAACUUAUGAGACAUUUACAGAACAUUCUGACAAACAACUGUGUAACUUAACAUUGAAAUGGGUAAUUAACCUUUAGAAACUUUAUUUUUUACAAUUCCCCCCUCUAAUUCUUUGAUCAGGCUCCAGCCUGCAUCAAUUUGCAGUUUCUGACUCUCGGAAAUAGUGUUUUCUCAAUUUUUGGUACCAAUCAUAAACCUUUUUGGUGUUUUUGUGUUCUUGUUCUUGGCUCUCUACCUUCAUAAUGCUAGUUUGUCUCUGAUUGGUCAUUUCUGGGAUUUGUAUACGUGCUUGGAUUGUGGAAGUUACUACUCGAACCAGGCAAGGGAAUAGGCAGGGUAGAAACAGUAAACUUGUUAAUGCACAAGCUAUAAUAAAAGCCGCUUUUUUCCACCAACUAGUAUCUACUAGGGGAGUCCACUCUUGGGUACUGACAUAUGUUAUCUUGCAUAUCUCUUUGGAGAUGUCUUUGAUCACUUUGCUUCUGUCAUUGAUCUCUAAGCAGCAGUCCGAGGAAAUAAAUUUGCCACAUAUUCCUCCUUCAUCAGCUAGUAAAUAAUCUACAGCAAGCCAAAUUUGAGAGAUUGCUGCUCUGGUCUGGGUUAAUUGGUUACUCAUGUCGUCAAGGGUGAGGGUUGUUUUGGUGGAAAAAAAUUCUAGUACUGCUUGGAGUCGGAUAAUUCUAUUGAGCAUAUAAAUCGGGGUGCAGUAUCCCUAAGACCCAUCUUGGGCCCAAGUGACUGGCCCAUAAGUUUUAAGUCUUUUUUCUGGGGUCCAGAUUUUGCCUUUCUAUUUUUGGGUACUCCCCAUGUCAAUUAUAUUUCUUCUCUUUCAGUUGGUUUUUCUUAAAUCAUCGUGUAGUUGAACUCCCAGAUUUGACCCUGAUUCUUUUGGGAGUAGGAAGAAGGCGGGUUUAAUGAUUGCUAUGGUGCAACUCCCUGCCCCAUCUCCUGGGAGUUUGGUGUAUGCUGUGCUUCUACAAAUCCAAAACAAAUUGGGGCUUCCCAAAAUGCAUCUUUUAUUUCUGAGGGAUAUUCCCAGUAUUUGGACAAUUUUCUUAUUCCCCAGAAGGGGUUUAUCCCUUUUUUGGCGCAUUCAUGCAGCCUGUACCCCUCAGGGUAAAUGCACCCUUUUUCGUUCUUCCCAAUGGACCAGUAUCGAUUUGGCUCUCGGGGAAUCCACCUAGUGCUUAAAUCUUUUGUUAUUAGAUAUUUUUUACAGGCCAUUUUUCCUACUAGGGUCUUAGACCUUUUCCCUCAUAAUACAUUCUUCACCAAUUCCUUUGACUUUAAGUCCCAUUCCUCCUUCCUUCUUUGCCCUGUGAUUUGAGGUUCUUGUUCGACUUGUUUCCAUUUUAGUCUCUCUAGUGGUCUCAGACUAAUCCCAACCCAAGGUUAAAUUUCUGUCAUUUGGGUAUUUCCCCAAACCCAACAGUUGGUUAAAUUUAACUCCUUACUGAUCCUCUCAACUAAAUCUAUGAAUAAAUUUUUCCCCAGGGGUAUUUCUAAGUCUUCUUUUUUUAAAAAUUUGGUUACCACUGUUAGUUUUUCUUCUACUAGGUCUGUUAAUCCUUCUUGGUUGGCUUCAUGUUCGCAGCAGAACUAGGCAUCUCUUACAGGGCAUUCCCCAAGCAAACACUGCCUAAACGAGGCUGUAUUUCUUGCAAUCCAAUAAACUUUCCCAUCUUCUUGACAGGUGGCUAACUGGGAGUGAUUAAAACAGCUGUGGUUUAUGUUGCUAUGGACUCUUAUUAAAGACCCGAGAUUUUCCCCAUCAUCGAGAGGGUGAUAGCACUCAGUACAUGCUGUUUCUCUACUCUCUAGGGUGCUACCCACGAGCAGGGCUAACACCAGCCCUCCCAAGAGUCCGGUAUGAGCCAUUUCUGGUGUGGAGGACUUCACUUGCUCUCCCGGUCUUGCCUCCUGGGA
This is an RNA transcript of Hirundo rustica (Barn swallow), 5936 nucleotides long. It is a transcript of the gene named zinc finger protein 239-like, with no coding region annotated. Lineage: Eukaryota; Metazoa; Chordata; Aves; Passeriformes; Hirundinidae. The record is from RefSeq and is a predicted model, not a curated record. The transcript is spliced from 4 exons.